GCAAUGGUGGUUCAGUGGUGGAAUUCUCUUCCAUGCAGGAGACCUGGGUUCAAUUCCCAGCCAAUGUA
Molecule: transfer RNA, 68 nt
Filed under: Loxodonta africana (African savanna elephant)
Lineage: Eukaryota; Metazoa; Chordata; Mammalia; Proboscidea; Elephantidae
Rfam family: tRNA
About the family: Transfer RNA (tRNA) molecules are approximately 80 nucleotides in length.
Source: Rfam by way of RNAcentral